AAGACCUAGAGGUCACUUUAAUCUUAUAAGCACAUUCUUCAGAUUGUCAUGUGGGUGGGUAACUUCUGCCAGACUUUUCUGGAGAUGGCUAAUCCAGCCGUGGGAUGUGGUUUCUUCUAACAGCCAGUCAGGAAAAUCUUGCUUCUCAAACUCCCGUCUUGACCCCUUCCUGAACUUUGCCUCCUGGAUCUUGAGGCCUGCCUUCGUGGAAGAGAAAUACUAGAAUCAAUGAACUGUGAACUAGAGCCCUGGGAUUAUCAACAGCCAGCUGAAAUUUUGAGAGCCACCUUGUAGAAAGCCUAACAGCAAAGACUGGAGAGAGGCUUCCAGCCAACAGCCAGCAAGGAAUUGAAGCCCUCAGUCCAAUAGCAGUGAGGAAUUGAAUCCUGCCAACAGCCUCGUGGAUGGUUGCUUGCUGCCUGACUCUAACUCCUGCUACUACUGCAAACACCACUGCCAUGAAUAUCUUCAGCAAAACCCCCUUCCAGACCUGCAUGAACAGUUGCGUGAAAUGUAUAUGCACAAAGGGACUGCAAGGGAAGACCCAGAGACUAGGGAAGAACUUGGAACAACCAUCUCAGUUUCUUCAAUUCCUAAUCUGAGAGUAUUGCUGUUUUUAAAUGAAGACCGACUGAUUCAUGCUGGGCUUCAGACAUGAGAGGCUAGGAGUAGGAGGCAUGCCUUGUUCAAAGAUAUCCAGUUCUCCCAGGACCAUUUGUUGAAAAGGCAAGCACCUUUUUACAGAAGAGGAAACUGAGGCCCAGAAGGAGAAGUGGCAUGCCCAAGGCUGUGCCAGAAGCAAAGUGUAAAAUAGAACCUGAGCCUCCCACCCCUGGUCAGUGCUAUACAUACAUUUACAUUUAACAUAAAUUUAAAUUUAAAUUGUUUGAAUAUGAAAAGUUAUUUUAUUAGCUCUCAGGUUCACUAAUGAUGUAAUUUCUAACAAAUGAAUAAAGGUUAGGUUGAUAGAGCAGGUGAUAAUUUUAAUGUGUUGUUCACAAAUUCUUUGGUACUUCUUUUCUCAAGAGGUGGAACUUAAUUCUCCUUUCUUUAAGUGUGAACUGAAUUUAGUAACUUGCUCCUAAAGAUUAGAAUGUGGCAGAAAUGACAGUGAGUGGCUUCUGAGAUUAGGUCAUAAAAGGCAUUACAGUUUCCUCCUCAAUUUCUCUCUCAGUAACUCCUCCAGGGGACAUCGGCAUCUGUUCUGACUCUUUGCUUCCAUGUCUUGAGGAAGCAGCCUCCUGCCUAUGGCCAUCUGAGGAAGCCAUCUUGGAAGCAGACCCCCCAGCCCCAGUCAAGCCUUCAGAUGACUGCAGUCUCAGCUGACAUCUUGACUUUAACUAAAAAUAAAAAAUAAAAAAUAAAACAAACAAAUAAACAAAAAAACUCCAAGCCAGAACUACCCAACUGGAAUUUGAGAUCUGCUUUCAAAUCCUGGCCCAUAGAAACUUAGAUAAUAAGUGUUUGCUAUUUUAAGCCACUCAUUUUUAGAGAAAUUUGUUAUGCAGCAAUAGCUAGCUAGUACAGAGAAUUAACCAGCCUCUCUUAAAUUACCACCACAAAAUCAACUACCUAUUUUAUUAAAAGGUAAAACCAGCUGCUGAAGAACGUUUUUCCUCUCAAGGCUUUGGCACUUAAGAUUCAACAGUAAGAAGGAUUGAAGAGUGAAGGCUUCCUGGCUACCCCAUGACAUCCUGUUUGGUCUGAAGCCUGAUAAGAGACUGAUGUGGAAAAAUGUGUCUCUUCUCAAGGGCUAACUCUGGAACCUUGGGAAAAUAUUCUAGAUUUGGAUCACAUUAAAAUGGGUAUUAGACCUAGGUUCUAGUUCCAGCUCAAAGAUCUGGAUGUGUCAAAAUCCUUUUCCCUUUGUAGGUUUUAAGUUUGGCCUCUUUAAAUAAAGAAACAAUCACCCAUGCUUUGUCUUUUAACUUGCUACUUAAAACAAGCAGCUGAAGACACUGGCCAUCAUCAAAUAACUAAUGGACAAUUCCCACUGCCUCGCUGAAAUUUGCAGUCUGACUCUUAUCAUCUCUUGCUUUUUUUUUUUUUUUUUUCCUUUGGCUGUGUUUGUGAAACUGCCUUUGCAAAGAUUAUG
This is a long non-coding RNA of Symphalangus syndactylus (siamang), 2095 nucleotides long. RefSeq lists it as uncharacterized. NCBI's taxonomy places the organism in Eukaryota, Metazoa, Chordata, Mammalia, Primates, Hylobatidae. The record is from RefSeq and is a predicted model, not a curated record.